This 196-nucleotide unclassified non-coding RNA is filed under the name uncultured fungus. Its description in RNAcentral is "partial contains 5.8S ribosomal RNA, internal transcribed spacer 2, and large subunit ribosomal RNA". The record is from RNAcentral. Lineage: Eukaryota; Fungi.
AGGGAUCAUUACAAGUGACCCCGGUCUAACCACCGGGAUGUUCAUAACCCUUUGUUGUCCGACUCUGUUGCCUCCGGGGCGACCCUGCCUUCGGGCGGGGGCUCCGGGUGGACACUUCAAACUCUUGCGUAACUUUGCAGUCUGAGUAAACUUAAUUAAUAAAUUAAAACUUUUAACAACGGAUCUCUUGGUUCUG